UACGGGGGGAGCAAGCGUUGUUCGGAAUUACUGGGCGUAAAGGGCGCGUAGGCGGUCCGCUAAGUUGAAUGUGAAAACUCUGGGCUUAACCCAGAGCCUGCAUUCAAUACUGGCGGGCUAGAGUUCUGGAGGGGAUAGCGGAAUUCCUGGUGUAGCGGUGAAAUGCGUAGAUAUCAGGAGGAACACCGGUGGCGAAGGCGGCUAUCUGGACAGAGUCUGACGCUGAGGCGCGAAAGCUAGGGGAGCAAACAGG
Molecule: ribosomal RNA, 253 nt
Filed under: uncultured bacterium
Lineage: Bacteria
Description: partial 16S ribosomal RNA
Rfam family: Bacterial small subunit ribosomal RNA
Source: RNAcentral